Molecule: long non-coding RNA, 372 nt
Organism: Lycium ferocissimum
Lineage: Eukaryota; Viridiplantae; Streptophyta; Magnoliopsida; Solanales; Solanaceae
Exons: 2
Source: RefSeq, a predicted model, not a curated record
UUAUUUUUCUUUAGUUCUAAAGUUUAUUUUUCUUUGUGUUUUGUGUGGUUGAGUGUGGGAUUUGGAAGCAUAAAGGGUCUUCAAAUCCAUUCUUGUACACGGCUGCGCAUAAAAAAGCCACCCCCAAUAGGAAAACUCUUUCAAAGAUUAUUGAGUUCAAAAAAAGAAAUGGAAGCUAAUAUUGUUAAAGACGCAAAGAAGGCCCAGCCAUGGGUGAAAAUGGCCAACUAAGGGCUUGGUACGCCCUCAGUCUUCCCUUUCUCUUUACUUAUGCAUUCUUUGUUAUAUGUAAUUAAUUGUAUCAUGUAUUUGUAAAGUUGUAAAACUCAUGUAUAUUAUUGGAAUCAUUAUGAUUAUGAACUAGUCGUCUUA